RNAcentral lists this ribosomal RNA (517 nucleotides) under uncultured bacterium. RNAcentral's name for it is "bacterial SSU rRNA". It matches the Rfam family "Bacterial small subunit ribosomal RNA", at positions 10 to 524 of the family's 1533-position model. The record is from RNAcentral.
AGUUUGAUCCUGGCUCAGAUUGAACGCUGGCGGCAUGCCUUACACAUGCAAGUCGAACGGUAACAGGUCUUCGGAUGCUGACGAGUGGCGAACGGGUGAGUAAUACAUCGGAACGUGCCCGAUCGUGGGGGAUAACGAAGCGAAAGCUUUGCUAAUACCGCAUAAGAUCUACGGAUGAAAGCAGGGGACCGCAAGGCCUUGCGCGAACGGAGCGGCCGAUGGCAGAUUAGGUAGUUGGUGGGAUAAAAGCUUACCAAGCCGACGAUCUGUAGCUGGUCUGAGAGGACGACCAGCCACACUGGGACUGAGACACGGCCCAGACUCCUACGGGAGGCAGCAGUGGGGAAUUUUGGACAAUGGGCGAAAGCCUGAUCCAGCCAUGCCGCGUGCAGGAUGAAGGCCUUCGGGUUGUAAACUGCUUUUGUACGGAACGAAAAGACUCUGGUUAAUACCUGGGGUCCAUGACGGUACCGUAAGAAUAAGCACCGGCUAACUACGUGCCAGCAGCCGCGGUAAU